UAGUGCAACUUGCUUUGGGAAAAAAAA
RNAcentral lists this non-coding RNA (27 nucleotides) under Mus musculus (house mouse). The record is from RNAcentral. Lineage: Eukaryota; Metazoa; Chordata; Mammalia; Rodentia; Muridae.